RNAcentral lists this long non-coding RNA (4612 nucleotides) under Sus scrofa (pig). RNAcentral's name for it is "lncRNA (ENSSSCG00050033825.1)". Lineage: Eukaryota; Metazoa; Chordata; Mammalia; Artiodactyla; Suidae. The record is from RNAcentral.
UAAGCUAUUCAGGGUCCCUUGAGAUUCCAUAUAAAAUUUUAGGAUAGGAUUUUUCUAUUUUUGAAAAAACCACCAUUGGCAUUUUGAUAGAGAAAUGUGUUAAAUCUGAGGUGGCUUUUAGUAGUGUUAACAUUAAGUUUUCUAAUCCAUAAACACAGGAUAUCUUCCAUUUAUUUGCAUCUUUACUUUCUCUCAGCAGUGUUUUGUAAUUUUUGCUGUACUAAUUAUUUUACCUCUUUAAAUUUACUCCUAUUUUAUUCAUUUUGAGAUUAUUGUAAAUGGAAUUAUUUUCUUAAUUUCCUUUUCCAAUUGCUCUUUGUUAGUGUGUAGAAAUGCAACUGAUAUUUGUAUGUUGGUCUUGUUUUCUGUUUUCCUGUUAUUAACUCUAACAAGAUUUUUUGUUUUAUUUCUGUUGUAAGCUUAAGGUCUUCUACAUCCUUUCCCAUUGGGAUCCUCUUAUUUCUUUUUGCUGCCUAACAGCUCUGGCUAGAAAUUCCCAUAUUAUACAGAAUAAAAGUGGGAGUUCCCAUUGUGGCACAGUGGAAACAAAUCCAACUAGUUACCAUGAGGUUGCAGGUUUGAUCCCUGGCCUUGCUCAGUGGGUUAAGGAUUCAGUGUUGCCAUGGUGUAAGUCACAGACAUGGCUCAGAUCCUGUGUCACUGUGGUUGUGGCAUAGGCCAGAGACUGUAGCUCCAAUUUGACCUCUAGCCUGGGAACCUCCAUAUGCUGUAGGUGUGGCCAUAAAAAAAAAAAAAUUGGUGAGCUGAGGUAUCCUUCUCUUGUUCAUGAUUUUAGGGGAAAAAAACUUUUCAGUCUUUCACCAUUAAUUACGACAGUGUGAGGUUUUUAUAUAUCUUUAUGUUGAGGAAGAUCUCAUCUACUCCGAGUUUACUGAGUGUUUUUAUUACGAAAAUGUGUUGAAUUUGUCAAACCCUUUCUGCAUCAAUUGAGAUAAUGGUGUAGUUCUUUUCCUUUAGUCUAUUGUGGUUAUUAUCAUAUUACCUUAAUUUUCACAUGUUAAACCACUCUUGCAUUCUGAGAAAAAAUCCCACUCAUUUAUGGUGUAUAAUCCUUUUAGUGUGGUGUGGGAUUCUGUUUGCUAGUAUGUUUUAGAAGAUUAUUGCCUCAAUAUCAAGGACUAUUGGUCUAUAGUUGUUUUUUGUUUAUUUUGUUUUUUUGCCCAUGCCUAUGACAUACAGAAGUUCCCAAGCCAGGAAGCAAACCUGAACCACAGCUACAACCAGAGCCACAGCAGUGACAACACCAGAACUUUAACCUGCUGAGCCACAAGGGAACCUAGUGUAUGGCUUUCUUGUAGUUCUUUAUCUGGUCUUAGUAUCAGGGUAAUGCUGGCAUUACAGAAUGAGUUAGUCAGUAUUCCCUUGUCUUCAGGUUUGGGGAAGAGUUUGAGGACUGGUAUUAAUUCUUUAAAUAUUUGGUAGAAGCCAGAAUUCCCAUUGUGGCACAGUGCAGACAAAUCUAGUAACUAGUAACUAGUAACUAAUAAUCCUGAGAUUUCAGGUUCUAUCCCUGCCCUUGCUCAGUGGGAUAAGGAUCUGGCAUUGCCAUGAACUGUGGUAUAGGUUGAAGACAUGGCUUGGAUCCUGCAUUGCUGUAGCUGUGGUAUAGGCCAGCAGCUGUAGCUCUGAUUUGACCCCUAGCCUAGUAAUCUCCAUGUGCAGCAAGUACGGCCCUAAAUAGCAAAGAAAAAAAUAUUUGGUAGGAGUUCCCGUUUAUUUGGCAGUGGUUAACAAAUCCGACUAGGAACCAUGAGGUUGUGGGUUCGAUCCCUGGCCUUGCUCAGUGGGUUAAGGAUCCGACAUUGCCAUGAGCUGUGGUGUAGGCUGCAGACACGGCUCAGAUCCCACAUUGCUGUGGCUCUGACAUAGGCUGGCGGCUACAGCUCUGACCCCUAGCCUGGGAACCUCCAUAUGCCACAGGAAGUGGCCCUAGAAAAGGCAAAAAGGCAAAAAAAAAAAAAUUUUUUUGGUAGAAUCCAUCAGACAAGCCAUCUGAUCUAAGCUUUUCUGUUUCUAAUUACUGUAGGUCUAUUCAGAUUUUCCACUUCAUAAUAAUUGCAUUUUGCUAGAUUUUAUGUUUCUAGGAAUUUGCCACUUCAUCUAGGUUAUCCCACUUGCUGAUAUAAACUUAUUCACAGCAUUCUCUUAUGAUCCUAUUUACUUCUAUAAAACCAGUACUUACAGCCCCACUUUCUUUGAUGCUUUUAGUAAUUCAAAUCUUUUUUCCAUAGUCAAUUUAAUUAAAAGUUUGUCAAUUUUGUUACUCUUUUCAAAGAAGCAACAUUUGUUUUCAUUGACUUCUGUUUUUCUACUCUUUUUUUUUUUAUUAACCUCUGCUCUAAUUUUUAUUAGCUCCUUUCUUCUGCUAGUUUUGGGGUUAGUUUGUUCUUAUUUACUCAUUUCCAUAAGGUGUAAGAUUGUUACUGAUUUGGCCAUCAUCAAAAAGUUUACAAACAAUAAAUGCUAGAGAGGGUGUGGAGAAAAGGGAACCCUCUCAUAUUGAUGGUGAGAACGUAAAUUGAUAGAACUACUAUGGAACCAUUAUGGAGGUUGCUCAAAAAACUAAAAGUAGAACUAUCAUAGGAUCCAGCAAUCCCACUCCUGGACAUAUAUCUGGAGAAACCAUAAUUUGAAAAGAUACAUGCACCCAAUGUUCAUUGCAGCACGAUUUACAAUAGCCAAGACAUGAAAGCAACCUAAAUGUCCAUCAACAGAGGAAUUGAUAAAGAUGUGAUACAUAUAAACAAUGGAAUAUUACUCAGCCAUAAAAAAAGAAUGAAACAGUAUGAUGUGCAGCAACAUGGAUGGACCUAAAAACUAUUAUACUAUGUGAAGUUAGUCAGACAGUGAAAGACAAACAUCAUAGGAUAUCACUUAUAUGUGGAAUCUUUAAAAAGGAUACAAAUGAACUUACUUGCAGAACAGUAACAGAUUCACAGACUUUGAACAGGAACUUAUGGAUACCAAAGGGGACAGGUAUUUUUGGGAGGGUGGACUGGGGGUUUGGAAUCAGCAUGUGCACACUGUGGUAUAUGGAAUGACUGGCCAAUAGAGACCUGCUACAUAGCACAGGAAACUCUGCCCAAUAUUCUGUGAUAUUCUAUGUAGGAAAAGAAUCUGAAAGAGAAUGGAUAUGUGUAUAUGUAUGACUGAAUCACUUUGCUAUACCCCAGAAACUGUCAUAACCCUGUAAAUCAAAUAUACUUCAAUAAAACUUAAAAAAAGAUUGUUAUUGAUUUGAGAUCUUUCUUUUUUCAAAUCUAAGUGUUUUAAUUCCUAGCAGUGCUACUGCUGAAUCCUAUAGGUUUUGGUAUGUUUUGUUUUCAUUUUCAUUUUCUUAAGGUAUUUUCUAAUUUCCUUUGUAACUUCUUUGACCCAUUGGUUAAGAGUAUUUUGUUUUCCACAUAUUUGUAAGUUUUGUAGUUAUUUAUUUUCAGUUUCAUUCCACUGUGAUUACAAAAGAUAAUUUAGGAGUUCCCAUUGUGGCGCAGUGGUUAACGAAUCUGACUAGGAACCAUGAGGUUGCAUGUUCGGUCCCUACCCUUGCUCAGUGGGUUAACGAUCCGGCGUUGCCGUGAGCUGUGGUGUAGGUUGCAGACAUGGCUUGGAUCUGGCAUUGCUGUGACCAUGGCACAGGCCAGCAGCUACAGCUCCAAUGUGACCCCCAGCCUGGGAACCUCUGUAUGCCAUGGGUGUGUCCCUAAAAAAAAAAAAAAAAAAAAAAGAAAAGAAAAGAAAAGAAAGAGAGAGACAUCAAAUAAAACCCCAUUGCUGGUUCUUUGGAAAGAUCAACAAAAUUAAUAAACUUAUAACUAGACUGAUCAGGAAAAACAGAGAAGACGCAAAGUAACACCAGAAAUGAGAGUAGUGACAUCACUACAACUGCACAGAUAUUAAAAGACUAUUAUGAACAAGUUUAUGUUUAUAAAUCUGAAGACUCAGAGAAAAUAAAUUCCUUGAACGAAACAAAUCACCAAAGCUCACUCAAGAAGAAAUAAGUAAUUUUCACUCGGUUUUACUUUGCAUACUUUUACUUUUCUUUACUCUGUCUUAAAGAAAUUAAUACCUUUAUAUCUAUUUGUAAUAUAAAAGAAUUUAUAGGUUAAAAACCUCCCCACAAAAAAGUAAAAACAAACAAAAACUCUAGGCCCAUAUAGCUUCUCUCAUGAAUUCUAUUAAACACUUUAAGGAAAAAUAAUACUAAUUCUGAAUAAACUCCUACAGAAAUGUAAACAGAAGAAAAUAUUUCCCAGCUUAUUUAUUCUAUGAGGCCAGCAUUACUGCAAUAUUAAAACCAGACAAAGCCAUUACAAGAAAAGAAAAUACAGACCAAUAUAUUUCAUGAACAUAGAAGUUUGGCUAAAUAUAGGAAAACCAAUUAAUAUAAUUCAUACUACCAAACUAAAAAAGGAAAAACUAUAUGAACAUUCUCAAUAAAUCCAAAAAUAAUUUGACAAAAUGUAACACCCAUUCCUGAUAAAAAUUUUUGGAAAAGAACAGAACUUCUACCCACACACCUAUGGAUAAUUAAUCUGCAACAAAUGAGGCAGGAAUAUACAGUGGGAAAAGACUGUCUCUUCAGCAAGUGGUG